UGUAAUUGCUUUUAAUUUAUUGCAUACACUGUGAUCGGAAGACGUGAUCAGGGGGAAGCUCUGAUGAAAGCAUUGAAGCAAAAGCAUGCAUAAAAGGAAGCUUGUUUCUUGAGUCAUAGUUUUCAGGAAACAGUAGCAGAAGAGUUCUUCACAUAUAUAUACAAUAAGCGGUGAUAAACCGCUUUUCACUACAAAGAGAACAAUAUAAUCUAAAGAUGAUAGACUACAUUACACAGUACUUUUCACCAUAGAAGCAGCAGGGGAAGACUAAAGUUUAUAUAUAGCUUGCUCGGAGUUCUCCGAAAGGGGAAAGAUAUUGGUCUCAUUGAUGCGAAACAAAAGGUGGCUGUUUUCGUAACAACCAAAGCAUGCAGGCCAGGAUACAUUGACCAAAGUCUACCAGAAACUAUUUCUGGUUGCUUCGAGGCGGUGCUCAAAAUUAUAGGAUGUCCGAUGUCGCUCGGAAAGAUAAACAUCUUUUUUAAUUAUCUCACAAAUAAAAAUAAGGAUGUUCUCUGAAUAAAUUAAUAUUGGUUUCUGUAAGAGAAAUUCAAUUAAAUGGUCAGCAUGAUACCCUUCCAGCGUAGACUUCGCUUGAUAAGCAAGCAGAAUAUAGAAGAUACCUUGACAAAGAAGAGAUAUUACAGUUAUUAGCAUACUGCACCAUACCAUUAAUCACAGUUGCAGAAUAAGUAGAACCAAAGAAACCUUAGUCGUACCGUAUGUACAUAUCUAGAUAACGGCAUGGAAGAAGUGCUCCAUGGAAGAACUACUGCCUCGCUUUCUUUGGUGCGCCAAUGUUGGGUUUCGUAGUAAUUUUAAAAAUUUUCCUACGCACACGCAAGAUCAUGUGAUGCAUAGCAACGAGAGGGGAGAGUGUUGUCUACAUACCCUUGUAGACCGUAAGCGGAAGCGUUAGCACAACGCGGUUGAUGUAGUCGUAAGUCUUCACGGCCUGACCGAUCAAGCACCGAAACUACGGCACCUCCGAGUUCUAGCACACGUUCAGCUCGAUGACGUCCCUCGAACUCCGAUCCAGCCGAGUGUCGAGGGAGAGUUCCGUCAGCACGACGGCGUGGUGACGAUCUUGAUGUUCUACCGUCGCAGGCCUUCGCCUAAGCACCGCUACGAUAUUAUCGAGGUGGACUAUGGUGGAGGGGGGCACCGCACACGGCUAAGAGAUCCAAGGGAUCAAUUGUUGUUUUUUUGGUGCUAGCCCUGCCCCUCUAUUUAUAUGUUGAGCCCCGGGGUCGAAACUUGGAGCAAAAGCCUCCUCAAAGUCGGUUUUUACCGAAAGGCAAGAGUCCCACUCGGACUCCAGGACCAAACGCCACAAUCCUUGGCGUCUGGCCCAGACGCCAUGGGCCUCGGCGUCUGGCCCAGGGCCAAACGCCAGGGUCUCUGGCGUUUGGCCCCCUGAACUCCGCAAAACUCCUUUUGCACCGAUCUAAAGCCUCAUGGGCUUGACCCCUUGGCCUAACCAUAUCAUCCAAUAUAUGAAUCUUUACGUCUCGACCAUUUCGAGACUCCUCGUCAUGUCCCCAAUCUCAUCCGGGACUCCGAACUCCUUCGGUACAUCAAAACAUGUAAACUCAUAAUAUAACUGUCAUCGUAACCUUAAGCGUGCGGACCCUACGGGUUCGAGAACAAUGUAGACAUGACCGAGACACGUCUCCGGUCAAUAACCAAUAGCGGGACCUGGAUGCCCAUAUUGGCUCCUACAUAUUCUACGAAGAUCUUUAUCGGUCAGACCGCAUAACAACAUACGUUGUUCCCUUUGUCAUCGGUAUGUUACUUGCCCGAGAUUCGAUCGUCGGUAUCCAAUACCUAGUUCAAUCUCGUUACCGGCAAGUCUCUUUACUCGUUCCGUAAUACAUCAUCUCACAACUAACAUAUUAGUUGUAAUGCUUGCAAGGCUUAUGUGAUGUGUAUUACCGAGAGGGCCCAGAGAUACCUCUCCGACAAUCGGAGUGACAAAUCCUAAUCUCGAAAUACGCCAACCCAACAUCGACCAUUGGUGACACCUGUAGUACUCCUUUAUAAUCACCCAGUUACGUUGUGAUGUUUGGUAGUACCCAAAGUGUUCCUCCGGUAAACGGGAGUUGCAUAAUCUCAUAGUCAUAGGAACAUGUAUAAGUCAUGAAGAAAGCAAUAGCAACAUACUAAACGAUCGGGUGCUAAGCUAAUGGAAUGGGUCAUGUCAAUCAGAUCAUUCUACUAAUGAUGUGACCUCGUUAAUCAAAUAACAACUCAUUGUUCAUGGUUAGGAAACAUAACCAUCUUUGAUUAACGAGCUAGUCAAGUAGAGGCAUACUAGUGACACUUUGUUUGUCUAUGUAUUCACACAUGUAUUAUGUUUCCGGUAAAUACAAUUCUAGCAUGAAUAAUAAACAUUUAUCAUGAUUAUAAGGAAAUAAAUAAUAACUUUAUUAUUGCCUCUAGGGCAUAUUUCCUUCAGUCUCCCACUUGCACUAGAGUCAAUAAUCUAGUUCACAUCGUCAUGUGAUUUAACACCAAUAUUCAUAUCUGUAUAUGAUUAACACCCAUAGUUCACAUCAUCAUGUGACCAACACCCAAAGGGUUUACUAGAGUCAAUAAUCUAGUUCACAUUGCUAUGUGAUUAACAUCCAAAGAGUACUAAGGUGUGAUCAUGUUUUGCUCGUGAGAGAAGCUUAGUCAACGGGUCUAUCACAUUCAGAGCCGUAUGUAUUUUGCAAAUAUUCUAUGUCUACAAUGCUCUGUACGGAGCUACUCUAGCUAAUCGCUCCCACUUUCAAUAUGUAUCCAGAUUGAGUCUUAGAGUCAUCUGGAUUAGUGUAAAAGUUUGCACUGAUGUAACUUUUACAACAAACUCUUUUAUCACCUCCAUAAUCGAGAAACAUCUCCUUAGUCCUUACUAAGGAUAUUCUUGACCAAUGUCCAGUGAUCUACUCCUAGAUCACUAUUGUACUCCCUUGCCAAAUACAGAGCAAGGUAUACAAUAGGUCUGGUACAAAGCAUAGCAUACUUUAUAGAACCUAUGACUGAGGCAUAGGGAAUGACUUUUCAUUCUCUUUCUAUUUUCUGCUGUGGUCGGGAUUUGAGUCUUACUCAAUUUCAUACCUUUGCAACACAGGCAAGAACUCUUUCUUUAACUGUUCCAUUUUGAACUAUUUCAAAAUCUUGCCAAGGUAUGUACUCAUUGAAAAUCUUAUCAAGCGUCUUGAUCUAUCUCAAUAGAUCUUGAUGCUCAAUAUAUAAGUAGCUUUUUACUGAGGUCUUUUCUUUUUAAAGAACUCCUUUAAAACACUCCUUUAUGCUUUGCAGAAAAAUUCUACAUCAUUUCUGAUCAACAAUAUGUCACUCACAUAUACUAAUCAGAAAGGCUGUAGUGAUCCCACUCACUUUAUUGUAAAUACAGGCUUCAUCGUAAGUCCAUAUAAAACUAUAUGCUUUGAUCAACUUAUCAAAGCGUAUAUUCCAACUCCGAGAUGCUUGCACCAGUCCAUAGAUGGAUCGCUGGAGCUUGCACAUUUUGUUAGCACCUUUAGGAUUGACAAAACCUUCUGGUUGCAUCAUAUACAACUCUUCUUUAAUAAAUCCAUUAAGGAAUGCAGUUUUGACAUCCAUUUGCCAGAUUUCAUAAAAUGUGGCAAUUGCUAACAUGAUUCAGAUAGACUUAAGCAUCGAUACGAGUGAGAAAACCUCAUCGUAUUCAACACCUUGAACUUGUUGAAAAACUUUUGCAACAAGUCGAGCUUGGUAGAUAGUAACACUACUAUCAGUGUCCGUCUUCCUCUUGAAGAUCCAUUUAUUUAACAUGGCUUUGCUGAUCAUCGAGCAAGUCAAUCAAAGUCCAUACUUUGUUGUCAUACAUGGAUCAUAUCUCAGAUUUUAUGGCCUCAAGCCAUCUCGCGGAAUCUGGGCUCAUCAUCGCUUCCUCAUAGUUCGUAGGUUCAUCAUGGUCUACUAACAUGACUUCCAGAACAUGAUUACUACACCACUCUGGUGCAUAUCUUACUCUGGAAGACCUACGAGGUUCUGUAGUAACUUGAUCUGAAGUUUUAUGAUCAAUAUCAUUAGCUUCCUCACUAAUUGGUGUAUUUGUCACAGGAACUGAUUUCUGUGAUGAACUACUUUCCAAUAAGGGAGCAGGUACAGUUACCUCAUCAAGUUCUACUUUCCUCCCACUCACUUCUUUCGAGAGAAACUCCUUCUCCAGAAAGGAUCCAUUUUUAGCAACGAAUAUCUUGCCUCCGGAUCUGUGAUAGAAGGUGUACCCAACAAUUUCCUUUGGGUAUUCUAUGAAGACGCACUUCUCCGAUUUGGGUUCGAGCUUAUCAGGAUGAAACUUUUUCACAUAAGCAUCGCAGCCCCAAACUUUAAGAAACGACAACUUGGGUUUCUUGCUAAACCACAGUUCAUAUAGUGUCGUCUCAACGGAUUUAGAUGGUGCCCUUUUAACGUGAAUGCAGCUAUCUCUAAUGCAUAACCCCAAAACGACAAUGGUAAAUCAAUAAGAGACAUCAUAGAUCGCACCAUAUCCAAUAAAGCGCGGUUACGAUGUUCGGACACACCAUAACAUUGUGGUGUUCCAGGUGGCGUGAGCUAUGAAACUAUUCCACAUUGUUUUAAUUGAAGACCAAACUCGUAACUCAAAUAUUCGUCUCCGUGAUCAGAUCGCAGAAACUUUAUUUUUCUUGUUACGAUGAUUUUUCCACUUCACUCUGAAAUUCUUUAAACCUUUCAAUUAUUUCAGACUUAUGUUUCAUCAAGUAGAUAUCCCCAUAUCUGCUCAAAUCAUCUUGUGAAGGUCAGAAAAUAAUGAUACCUGCUGUAAGCCUUUCAUCGGACCACAUACAUCGGUAUGUAUGAUUUCCAACAAAUCUGUUGCUUGCUUCAUUGUUCCGGAGAACGGCGUUUUAGUCAUCUUGCCCAUAAGGCAUGGUUCGCAAGCAUCAAGUGAUUUAUAAUCAAGUGAUUCCAAAAUCCCAUCAGCAUGGAGUUUCUUCAUGUGCUUUACACCAAUAUGACCUAAACGGCAGUGCCAUAAAUAAGUUGCACUAUCAUUAUUAACUUUACAUCUUUUGGUUUCAAUAUUAUGAAUAUGUGUAUCACUAAGAUCGAGAUCCAAUGAACUAUUUUCAUUGGGUGUGUAACCAUAUAAAGUUUUAUUCAUGUAAACAGAACAACAAUUUAUUCUUUUACUUAAAUGAAUAACCGUAUUACAAUAAACAUGAUCAAAUCAUAUUCAUGCUCACCAAAUAACACUUAUUUAGUUUCAACACUAAUCCCGAAAAUAUAGGGAGUGUGCGAUGAUGAUCAUAUCAAUCUUGGAACCACUUCCAACACACAUCGUCACUUCACCCUUAACUAGUCUCUAUUUAUUCUGCAACUCCCGUUUCGAGUUACUAAUCUUAGCAACUGAACUAGUAUCAAAUACUUAGGGUUUGCUAUAAACACUAGUAAAGUACACAUCAAUAACAUGUAUAUCAAAUAUACUUAUGUUCACUUUGCCAUCCUUCUUAUCCGCCAAUCACUUGGGGUGAUUCCGUUUCCGGUGACCAGUCCCUUUGCAGUAGAAGCACUUAGUCUCAGGCUUAGGACCAGACUUGGGCUUCUUCACUUGAGCAGCAACUUGCUUGCCGUUCUUUCUUGAAGUUCCCCUUCUUCCCUUUGCCCUUUUCUUGAAACUAGUGGUCUUAUCAACCAUCAACACUUGAUGUUUUUCUUGAUUUCUACCUUCAUUGAUUUCAUCAUCACGAAGAGCUUGGGAGUUGUUUCCGUUAUCCCUUGCAUAUUAUAGUUCAUCACGAAGUUCUACUAACUUGGUGAUGGUGACUAGAGAAUUCUGUCAAUCACUAUCUUAUCUGGAAGAUUAACUCCCACUUGAUUCAAGCGAUUGUAGUACCCAGACAAUCUGAGCACAUGCUCACUAGUUGAGCGAUUCUCCUCCAUCUUUUAGCUAUAGAACUUGUUGGAGACUUCAUAUCUCACAACUCGGGUAUUUGCUUGAAAUAUUAACUUCAACUCCUGGAACAUCUCAUAUGGUCCACGACGUUCAAAACGUCUUUGAAGUCCCGAUUCUAAGCCGUUAAGCAUGGUGCACUUAAACUAUCAAGUAGUCAUCAUAUUGAGCUAGCUAAACGUUCAUAACGUUUGCAUCUGCUCCUGCAAUAGGUCUGUCACCUAGCGGUGCAUCAAGGACAUAAUUCUUCUGUGCAGCAAUGAGGAUAAUCCUUAGAUCACGGAUCCAAUCCGCAUCAUUGCUACUAACAUCUUUCAACACAAUUUUCUCUAGGAACAUAUCAAAAUAAACACAGGGAAGCAACAACGCGAGCUAUUGAUCUAUAAUUUGCAAAAUACUACCAGGAUUAAGUUCAUGAUAAAUUUAAGUUCAAUUAAUCAUAUUACUUAAGAACUCCCACUUAGACAGACAUCCCUCUAAUCCUCUAAGUGAUCACGUGAUCCAAAUCAACUAAACCAUGUCCGAUCAUCACGUGAGAUGGAGUAGUUUCAAUGGUGAACAUCACUAUGUUGAUCAUAUCUACUAUAUGAUUCACGCUCGACCUUUCGGUCUCCGUGUUCCGAGGCCAUAUCUGCAUAUGCUAGGCUCGUCAAGUUUAACCUGAGUAUUCUGCGUGCACAACUGUUUUGCACCCGUUGUAUUUGAACGUAGAGCCUAUCACACCCGAUCAUCACGUGGUGUCUCAGCACGAAGAACUUUCGCAACGGUGCAUACUCAGGGAGAACACUUCUUGAUAAUUUAGUGAGAGAUCAUCUUAUAAUGCUACCGUCAAUCAAACAAGAUAAGAUGCAUAAAAAGAUAAACAUCACAUGCAAUCAAUAUAAGUGAUAUGAUAUGGCCAUCAUCAUCUUGUGCUUGUGAUCUCCAUCUCCGAAGCACCGUCAUGAUCACCAUCGUCACCGGCGCGACACCUUGAUCUCCAUCGUAGCAUCGUUGUCGUCUCGCCAAUCUUAUGCUUCCACGACUAUCGCUACCGCUUAGUGAUAAAGUAAAGCAUUACAUCGCGAUUGCAUUGCAUACAAUAAAGCGACAACCAUAUGGCUCCUGCCAGUUGCCGAUAACUUGAUUACAAAAACAUGAUCAUCUCAUACAAUAAAAUUCAGCAUCAUGCCUUGACCAUAUCACAUCACAACAUGCCCUGCAAAAACAAGUUAGACGUCCUCUACUUUGUUGUUGCAUGUUUUACGUGGCUGCUACGGGCUUAAGUAAGAACCAAUCUCACCUACGCAUCAAAACCACAACGAUAGUUUGUCAAAUAGACUCCGUUUUAACCUUCGCAAGGACCGGGCGUAGCCACACUCGGUUCAACUAAAGUUGGAGAGACAGAUGCCCGCAAGCCAUCUAUGUGCAAAGCACGUCGAGGGAACCGGUCUCGCGUAAGCGUACGCGUAAGGUUGGUCCGGGUCGUCUCGUCCAAUAAUACCGCCGAACCAAAGUAUGACAUGCUGGUAGGCAGUAUGACUUGUAUCGUCCACAACUCACUUGUGUUCUACUCGUGCAUAUAACAUCAACAUAAAUAACCUAGGCUUGGAUGCCACUGUUGGGUUUCGUAGUAAUUUCAAAAAAUUUCCUACGCACACGCAAGAUCAUGUGAUGCAUAGCAACGAGAGGGGAGAGUGUUGUCUACAUACCCUUGUAGACCGUAAGCGGAAGCGUUAGCACAACGCAGUUGAUAUAGUCGUACGUCUUCACGGCCCGACCGAUCAAGCACCGAAACUACGGCACCUCCGAGUUCUAGCACACGUUCAGCUCGAUGACGUCCCUCGAACUCCGAUCCAGCCGAGUGUCGAGGGAGAGUUCCGUCAGCACGACGGCGUGGUGACGAUCUUGAUGUUCUACCGUCGCAGGGCUUCGCCUAAGCACCGCUACGAUAUUAUCGAGGUGGACUAUGGUGGAGGGGGGCACCGCACACGGCUAAGAGAUCCAAGGGAUCAAUUGUUGUUUUUUUGGUGCUAGCCCUGCCCCUCUAUUUAUAUGUUGAGCCCCGGGGUCGAAACUUGGAGCAAAAGCCUCCUCAAAGUCGGUUUUUACCGAAAGGCAAGAGUCCCACUCGGACUCCAGGACCAAACGCCACAAUCCUUGGCGUCUGGCCCAGACGCCAUGGGCCUCGGCGUCUGGCCCAGGGCCAGACGCCAGGGUCUCCGGCAUUUGGCCCCCUAAACUCCGCAAAACUCCUUUUGCACCGAUCUAAAGCCUCAUGGGCUUGACCCCUUGGCCUAACCAUAUCAUCCAAUAUAUGAAUCUUUACGUCUCGACCAUUUCGAGACUCCUCGUCAUGUCCCCAAUCUCAUCCGGGACUCCGAACUCCUUCGGUACAUCAAAACAUGUAAACUCAUAAUAUAACUGUCAUCGUAACCUUAAGCGUGCGGACCCUACGGGUUCGAGAACAAUGUAGACAUGACCGAGACACGUCUCCGGUCAAUAACCAAUAGCGGGACCUGGAUGCCCAUAUUGGCUCCUACAUAUUCUACGAAGAUCUUUAUCGGUCAGACCGCAUAACAACAUACGUUGUUCCCUUUGUCAUCGGUAUGUUACUUGCCCGAGAUUCGAUCGUCGGUAUCCAAUACCUAGUUCAAUCUCGUUACUGGCAAGUCUCUUUACUCGUUCCGUAAUACAUCAUCUCACAACUAACAUAUUAGUUGUAAUGCUUGCAAGGCUUAUGUGAUGUGUAUUACCGAGAGGGCCUAGAGAUACCUCUCCGACAAUCGGAGUGACAAAUCCUAAUCUCGAAAUACGCCAACCCAACAUCGACCAUUGGAGACACCUGUAGUACUCCUUUAUAAUCACCCAGUUACGUUGUGACGUUUGGUAGUACCCAAAGUGUUCCUCCGGUAAACGGGAGUUGCAUAAUCUCAUAGUCAUAGGAACAUGUAUAAGUUAUGAAGAAAGCAAUAGCAACAUACUAAACGAUCGGGUGCUAAGCUAAUGGAAUGGGUCAUGUCAAUCAGAUCAUUCAACUAAUGAUGUGACCUCGUUAAUCAAAUAACAACUCAUUGUUCAUGGUUAGGAAACAUAACCAUCUUUGAUUAACGAGCUAGUCAAGUAGAGGCAUACUAGUGACACUUUGUUUGUCUAUAUAUUCACACAUGUAUUAUGUUUCCGGUAAAUACAAUUCUAGCAUGAAUAAUAAACAUUUAUCAUGAAAUAAGGAAAUAAAUAAUAACUUUAUUAUUGCCUCUAGGGCAUAUUUCCUUCAGCCAACUCCCUUGGCGGCAUUGCCUGUUCUAAAUUUGAUCAAUUAGCAAAAACAAUGACACGUUAACAACUUUGUUCCUGGUGAUAAAGGCUAGAUCUUCAGAAUGUUGUAUACACAGGAAGUGCAUAAAGAUUAGACACAAAAAUUGCAAGACAACAUAAACAAACAGAAGACUCAUUGAACCCUAGCACAUAGGAAACCAACUCCAUAGAUAAUCAAUUGGUAGGCGCAUGCAACAGGAAAGAAAUGGUAAUACACAUAAAAAGGCUGAAGGUACAUAUAUAUUUUACUGACCCUCUCAUGAAUCUAGAAAGAAAAGUCUGAUCAAACAGCAUUAGACGCAUCAGUGAAGAGAGAAAACAUAGUCAACAUACAAAGGGAACAAUGUUUUUCAUUGUAAAGAAGGGAAGGCUUCGUAAAUUCCUAAAUGGGAGGGUAGUAUUUCUGUUUAGGCAUCUAUUCUGCAAUUUAUUAGCGAGUAACUAAAUAGUAAAAGUCUGUGUUUUUUUUGUGAGUAAGUGAUUAAUCUGCAUAUAUCAGUGAGGUACAGAACAGGAAUUGAGCCUGGUAACAAACCCGCACUCAGUAAAUUUGUAAUUGUUGUGACCAAGAAGCAAGCAGAAAAAUAGCUGAACCUUAGAACUUAUAUUAGAAAAAGUAGAGAUCAAAUGCAUAUACCAAAGCAGGAGCCGUUCCAUAAUCUAACACAACAAUCUAAUUUGUUCUAUAGGAGGGGUUUUCACCUUUUGGUCUUAGAGGGGUCAGGAAGCAUGUUCUUUGGAUCCUCAGCAGAUGCACUUUCAGUUUCCUCUCCAACCUGUAUAAUUUGGUGUUAUCAAAGAUCAUUGUACAUCAAGCAUGAUCUAUGCAGAAUGGGUAUGAUAUCUGCAUAUUAAGCAUAGGCACGAACAUUUAGCACGGAUGCAGGCUGAACAAUAUUUUCAGCAGUGGCACCUUCUUCAGUCUGAGAGGCCACUUUGAUAGCACGGGCAGAAUCAUUUAAUUGUCUGCAUUCUAAUAUGGUUUUUUGGUGUGUAAAUAGACGAUCAGCAAUACAACAUUGAAGCCAAGCUAAAUAAAAAAUAGUGGUAUAGUAGGCAACCUUUCCAAAACAGCAGAAACUAAAUAGGAUUUUGUUAGCGUUGGUAUUCUAAAUCAAAGCUGAGAUUUCCCAACAAAAUUGCAAUCUGGGAUCACAUAGACUGUAGUAUUAGAAAGGACAUAUGCAAGUAAUUCCGUAUGAUUAAUUAUUAGGGCCAGUUGAAUUGGCAGGAUCAUACACUAAUCACAAUUAUCAUUCAACUUUGUUUUAUAUUUAACGUCAUAAAAGAUUCUACAUAUUAAGAUGUUGCCUAGUACAUAGUCAACAUGCUAAAUGAAUGGUUAGAGUCAAAAGACUUGGGGUCUGUUUGGUUCAUACAGUACAUUAAAUCAAGCCCUCCACGGCAGCAACACCGACACAAAAACGGCAGCGACGCAAGCGCAACACACAACAAGCUCAGAACAAAGGAGAGCACGACACUUCUUGGGGGACAACAUUCAGUGAAGCAUCUAAUCUGUAUUUUGAAAGUGAGUCACCAAUAGAAGUAUUUGAGAGCCAAGAGCAAACUAUUUUGAGACCCAAGAGCAAACUAUUGACUCUAAUCACCAGGCUGUAAUAAGCAUGAGCAGAACUCAAAAUAGUGAAAGGAUGAGAAUCGAAUAAAUAUCACUUCAUUAUUUCUUUCCUAACUGAAGCAAAAACAAUCUCUUGCCCUGCCGGCACACAAACAAGGUGCAAUCACACAGCCCAAACCUCAUUUAGUUUCAACACAUGUUCUUCAUCCAUUGAAUUCCAGGGAAGGCAAGAAAAUUGAGAGAGCAAGAGACGUUGUAGAAGUCGGUACCUGCGGAGCUGCAACACCAUCUCAACCAUCUCUUCGCCGCCUUGAGCUUGAGGGAGGAGGGUCGGCGGCCUGGCAUCGCGGGUGGCCCGAGCUCUUCCUUCUUGCCACUGUCCAGCGCUGCCACACAAAGCGCCUCCAUCAGAACCCCGAUGCAGAGGGAGAGCACGCCAAAGUAGGAUGAUAUCAACAGCCAAAGUAGGAUGCAGUGUUAUUUGGACUUGGUAAAGAAGUUACCCUCUUCUUACUUUUUUGCAGUGGAGUAAUCUAGCAAUUCAGCAGCACCCGAGUUUUGGCGACCUUGAUUUCUUCUUCAACCAUCAACAAAGCCUUGACGCAAACAUGUUCACAUUUAAUAGAACCCUAUUAAAAGAGAUAUUCCAAAUUAAGGAAAAGUAAUCAUGGUAAAAUCUUAAUUCAUGAACAAUUUGAUAUGUUGAGCAUAUUGUUUGCUUCUCAAAGAGUGUGCCAAGAUUGAUGCUCUCGGGAUAGAAAUCAACUCGAAUACAACAACUACUAUCAGACUUUCUGCACGUCUCUCGACAACAAACUGUGCUGGGUCCUCGAUCGUAGCAAACAAUGUUACCAAGUCCAUCCACCACAUUAGGACACAUGCUGAGAUAAAAGGGUAAGAAGAUACUUGCCCUUUCCAUGGCGUAGGCAGCAUCAGUCAGCACGGUGGAGCUGUGCCAUAGGGUGGGCGCUGGAUCGGAGACCAGCGAGGCUAUUCGUGAGUUGGGUGGACUGGCAGCUCGCGUCGGCAUGGAAGCAAGCAAUGCUUUGCGGGCGUCUCGCCAUGCCGCGGACAUGGCCUUGACGAAUCCGCUGAUCAUUAAAUUUUCCAUGACCAUGAAAAGAUAAACAUGAAGGUCAGGCAUAGGCUAUAGUUGGAUGCAUAUACAGGACGAUGCCUAACAAAGAUCCAGUACAAUUUGUUCUAAACCUAAUCGAUUGGUGAGCCGGUCAAUACUGACCCAAAUUAAACUGAAGGUAUGACAUUACAGAAGCAUAAAUUCAGAAAUGGAAGAACUCAAAUGUAUUUGUUCAGUUCAAGGAAUGUGUGAGUUAAAAUAGACUGCUUCUAACGAAGUCGUUGGUCCCACUUCUACCGGCACACAUACAUACGCCGAUUGAGCGCAAAUAGAAGGCAAUCGCCAGCAUAUGCAAACUAAAACGUAAAGAAUCAAAUCUGUUACAGAGAAAAGGAUACUCGCUGGGAGCCGUCAUCGUGCAUCAUCUACAGCCUCCAUCACCCACCUGCCGAGGACUCCAUCCGCUGCAUGACUGCACGAAUGGCCUCCUAUUUUGCCACAGCAAGGUGGAACCAGGUGUAGAUGUCGUCACCCACCCGUUGAGGCCGCCGUCCUGUUGAGCGAUGACAAGGAGGAAAAGGUGAAGCGCACGCAGGGGGCUGGGUGUUUUAGUGUGGAAAAACAGAGAUAAUGAGAGAUGGGGAAGGGAUCUCACCGCCUUAAACUUGAGCUCGUGGACGAGCCGUCCUCUGCUGCUCUGCCUUGACCACCUCGAGCACCCCCUCUGUCUUCGUCCUCUCACCUUCUCGAGUAGAUCCAUGACCAUCUCCUUCCCCUCCCACCUCAGCCCUCCCUACCCUCAACUAUGCAGACUAGGCUACAGCCCCUCCUCGGCGACCUGGAGCGAGGGCCUACGAGGAGAGCGGCACCAAUCCUCGCGCGGGCCGACGCCGGUGGAGUCCCUCUCCAAUUCGAAGGCACACCUCCCUCUCUCACCUGCAGAUCGAAUCCAGCACCGCCACCGUCGCCGGCCAGCUCAUGGAGUCCAGCCACCGCCGCCCAAGAUGUUGGUUGCUGCUCCCCUCCUUUCCCCUCCUCCGCCGUCACCCCACAUGCCGAAUCUCGAUCGAGGCCGCACUCCUCGGCUCGAGGUCCUCCGGCUGAGGCCGGAUCGAGGUCGUGCUCAUCGAGGCCGGCCACGCGGGGGAGCCCGUCCCGCGCGAACCCAGAGCAGGCGGUGGAGACGGGUUCGCCCGCGAAGCGCUUGGCCACAGCAGCCUGCGCCCGAGCGAUGGGAAGGCGAGGAGGAGGAAGAGGCGAGGCGGUGGAGAAGUAGCAGUCGGCGGCGGGGCUCCUAGGGCGCAGGAGGAGGUGGGAGGGAGUGGCGGCGGACGAGGGAGGGAGGAGCGAGGGGCGUGGGGUUGUGGAUCGGGGCUAGGGUUAGAUGCCGUUUUCUACCCUGCACGGUGCGGUCAUUUUUCCGCUCGCCUGGUGCGCUGCACCCCCACGCGCGGCGCGGUGCGGUGGGCUUUUUUCCCUUGCGUGGUACCGUGCGCCGGAGGCCUUCGUUGUGACUACCUACCCCUUCAUCCUUUAUAAGUUAGAUUUGCAUUUUAGGAAGAUAUGACUGUCGCUCUCGUCAAGUCUAUCCAAAUCAAUUCCUCUGCGCUUUAGGUUGAGAAGUGGAAAGGCUGUCCUAAUCUCCGAAGGAACAUGCAUAUUUUCCUUGGCAACUUUUUCGCUCCAUAUUUGUCCCAACAGCUGGUCGUACCUGCAGCAGUCCAGCAGUGAUGUCUUCCUAUCCAACAACAGUAAUACUGACAUCUCCCUGUCCAAGAAUACAUCAAAAGGCUCGUAUUACAUCCAUUGGAAAAAGGAACCUAGCUUGCCCAAUGACUAGGUAUAAAUUGUUCAAAACGCAACCGCGAAUCCCAUUGUUAGAGUCUGGAACAAAAUGGAGCCUCCCCGUGCGUUUGGAUUCUGGACCGUUCGAUCGUUUUCCUGAUGCGAUUCCGGCCGUCGGAUCUCGGGCUCGGCUCACGUGAGGCGUCGGAUAUUUACCAGAUCGUUGCGGGCCGUUGGAUAAAAUUCCAAUUGCAACUGAAGGUAAAUACCGUGCCCCCACCGGGGCAUUUUGGUCAUUUCGCAUAGGGGGGUAUAAAAUGCGGCCGCUCCCGUGGCGGAGACCUAGCCGCCGCCUCUCCCGCACUCGCACAGCUCCUCGCCUCUUCCUCCCGUCCUCCCGCCCGCCGCCGCCGCCAGCCAUCCUCCCCGUCCAUCGCUGCCACACCAUCGCUGGCACCUACCCGAGGCGUGGGCGAUGCGGGCACCCGCGUCGGGGAGAUGGGCGCCACGCAGCGGUUGCCGGAUCCGUUUUGCUACAAGUCUGGGCGCGUCGGAUCCGCUGCUCCUCCCGCCCCGCCGCCCACGACCCCCUCUCCCGCAACUCCGGCCAGACGCCGUCGAGAGGUCAACUCUGGCCGCCUCCACCACCACCCAGUGGCAGGAGCGCACCUCCCCCUCCCCCGCUACUCCUCCUCUAUCACGUGUUCAUCACUGGGAGGAGCAGCGGAUCUGCCUAGUGGCGUCGCCGUCGGCUGAAGGAGUGGCGGACCAUGGUCCUCGAGUUACUGCACCUCCGGGAAGAAGACGACCUGAGGUGAGCAGCUUCCAAUCCGCCAUGCGAAGCCACCACUGAGUGCCCUCACCACUUUCCCCAUCCCCCCUCUCCUUCUCGCACGGAUUUACCAGUUCGUCUGCUCGUGAUUUGAUAUGUUGAUUUUGUCAUUUGCAGGGGGUGGAUCCUAAGGGGCAGAGAUGCAGUCCUCCAGAGUUGUUGGGAAGAAGAAGAUGGGUAAGCUCCUAUUUCUCUUCUAUGUUGAUUUAGCAGACGAAAAAAUUAGGAAGAGGACUAGAAAGAGUAUCUGCAGAUCUAUGUAAUUUUUUGUCCAAAAAGACCACCUGCCAAGAUAAAUUGACAAAAAAGACCACCUCUAAAUUAAAUAGUCAGAAAAGACCCCCUUGACCGUGACGGCAGGCGCACCAGCUGACACAUGGCACCUGCCGCCACGGUGCAAGGCGGCAGCCCCUGCCGCCAUGGUGUGAGACGGCACGCUGCAGAUUACAGAAUUCCACACCGCGACGGAACGGAGACGGUCCCAUGGGCCAUGCCGCCACUGUGUGAGGCGGCGGCUUGCGAUGAGACAGCUCUGCUGGCUAUCAGUUGGUGAGCUCUCGCGUUUUAUGUAUGCCGACACUGCCUGUGUAUGCUCUGGAAGCUCAUUUCUUUGCGCGCCCACUCCUCUCCUCUCUGCUCUAAGUAACCUAGCACAUUGAGAAGAACAGCUCAAAUAGCUACUUUGAACACGAUUUUGAGCGUUUUAAAGGCCGAUUCAAAAGAUGUUUUAGUUGAGUAAAAGAUAGAACAAGGUCAGAUCUGUCCAUUUUUGUAGGUAUCGUUCAUAUGCAUGAUGUUUUUGGUCUGUUAAUCGAAUAAACCGAACCAAUAUAUUUUGAUUAUUAUGGUUCGGUUGCUAAUUUCUGUGUGAUUAUUUCGGUGGCCAUUUCAAUAAAAUGAAAUUAGAAAAAACCGAAUAAACCGAAUCGUAUUAACCAUAUUAACCGAACUUCGAGCCCUACCAGCGGUGACAUCAUUCACAACAAUACAUCAAUAUAAAAAAUGUUCACAAUAUUACACGGCGCUAUUUAUACCUUAGCUUCAAUAUGAAUGUCGUUCUGCACAAAAUUAAGCGUCACAAAAGUUUAAAAAAGUAUCCGUCAGCAUGAACAUAUCACCGGCAAUAUAUCGACGGAGUCAACCUAUUAUCACAUGAACAUAAAUGUUAGCCACGGAUUUUUUUUUCUAUCAACUGCAUCAAAAUAGCACUUGCAUGAACAUGGUCAUCACCUCAAAAUGGAGAUCGAAGAACCAAAUGCAAUUUUCUUCCGCCGCCGUUCGUUUGGGUCGAUGCGGACAAAAGUGGAGGCUCAACGCGCUGACCCAUUAGCAAAACGUGUCCGCGCUGACCCAUUUGCGGCCCAAAUGCGUCAGCGCGGACACGAAGCGGACGCCUCGCACACCUUCUCGGUGCCCGCCGCAUCCCCAUCUAGCGGCCGUCCAAGAAUCGCGGCCAGCUUAAUUUAUAACGACCGCCCACCUCGGGCCAACACGUCAGCGCCGACGGUCGGUCGUUUUUAAUCCGAGCAUGCGGCGGACGACGUCGCCACCGCCUGGAACACGGCGUCGCCCCGCACCGACGUUGAUCAACCCAACCGGCCCCGACGACAACGAAGAGGACGCCCUGGGCAACGUGCCACCUCGUAGUUUAGUUUUUUUAAUUUUUAAUUAAUGUAAAUGUGGACGCAUGAACUCUCGCCGUCCUUUGUGGCCGGCAUUAAUAUUUAAUUAAUGUUUUUCAUUUUUGAAAUAUUUGUGUUCUAUUUUUUCGCGCAUCAUAAAAAUGGGUUGGCCAGCGUUGGGCGCAUGCGUCGAACCAAACGCGAAAGCGGACGAGGAUGUCUGCCGGGCCAACCCAAACAGACAAAAGGCAGACAAAAUCGUCAUCCGUUUGGGUCGUCGCGUUGGAGUUGCUCUAACUAAUUUCCACCGUGCAUGCACAAAAAAAAUUUAUGUAAUGCAAAGCUCAUAUCUCGAUCUUCACCUUCGUAGUUCACUUCGCACGGCAAAUCCUACCACAGAAGCUCCAAAUGAGUCCACAUUGUCAAAUAAUAUAAAAAACAGAGAAUACAUACUUAGGAACCAAUCAAACAGAACAAAAAUAUACAUGCGAAUGAAACCAACAAAAAUGGAUAGAUCUCACCUUGGUCUAUCUUUUGUUCAACUAAAACAUCUUUUGAAUCGGCCUUCAAAUCGUUCAAAAUCAUACUUAAAGUAGCUAUUGAGUUCUCAGUGUGCUAGGUUACUUAGAACAGAGAGGAGAGAGUGAGCGCACAAAGGAAUGAGCCGGGCUGCCUCAUAUAAAGAAGGGAACAACGAGCAGAUUCCAGAGCCAACACGGGCACUGUCGGCAUAAAACGCCAAAGCUGACCAGAGCUGUCUCGUCGCGCGCCCCAUGCACAGUACCGGCCGCCUCACGCAGCGGCGGCAUGGCCCAUGGGACCGUCUCCGUUCCGUCACAAUGUGGAAUUUCUGUAAUCUGCACUGUGCCGCCUCGCGCCGUGGCGGCAGGUGACAGGUGUCGCCUGGCGCGCCUGCCGCACGGUUAAGGGGGUCUUUUCUGACUAUUUGAUCUAAAGGUGAUCUUUUUUGUCAAUUCGUCUCGGUAGGUGGUCUUUUUGGACAAAAAAUCGAUCUAUGUUGGUGCUCUUAGUCUCAUGAUUUAUGCUAUAACAAGUCUCUCAUGUGCAUAUCCUAUGUUAGUGAAUCACCUUCUAGCUGCUGAUUACUCUUUGUUGUUAAUUGGUUUGAGAAAACACUACGUGAUCAUGGUUCUGAUUGUGCACCUUCUUGGCUUAGAAAAGUAGAGCAAUUUCUGUUUAUUCUCAAGUUUGGUUAUCUCCAUGGGAGUCCUUGCUGUGUUAUGGCUCGACCGUGCAGCCCUGCGUCCUCGAGCAGGAGCAACUGAUUCCCAAGCUGCCGGUGCUUUGUUCGACAAGGAGCAUGUCGCCGUCACCUUGGGUGCAGCCGUCCGGUGGAAGGCGCUCUGCCUUUUUCAGAAGGCGAGGAGGAUCGGCGGAUCCAGCCCCCCUCCUCUCCAGGUCUCACCUGCGUUCCAUCCUCAUAUUCACCCAUGUCUUCUCAACACUCAUGCUCCCCCCUUCUCUUUCUCUCUGAUCCAUGUUUUCUAUGUCUUAACAUACAUGUCUUUGCGUGUGCGUGCAGCAGCUCGGCGGAGACAAAAGAGGAGGUCACCGGGAGAUGACGAAAGAUCAAAGGAGGAUGGUUAGUGUAUGCUGCCUGAGUACUGUCAAAUCUGUGUUUUUAUACAGUGUUGGUUCCCAACUACUGAAGUCAAAAAUUCACUAAGCUUGUGGGUACAGUAAGUUAGUGUUAAUGUCUGUCACUGGUUACAGAAGUUAGUGGUUCACUGGAUAUUGGUUACAGUAAAAUACCCCUAUGUUACAGUAAGUUAAUGGUUAACUGAACUACCGAAGAUUUGUCUUCGAUUGUACAUUAAAGUUAGUGUUCUAAAUGUUCUCAGUACUGUACUGAAUUUGUCACCGACUGUACUGAAGAUUUAAAGUAAACUGAAUUUAGAAUGCAUAUACAUUAGAUUCCAAAAGUAGUAGUAGCACUUGGUUCUCAUAUAAAGCCCAUAAGAGCAACCAAUUUAAAAGUUUAAAGAUAAUUUGUGAGAAUCUACAACAUUUUCUGUAGAGAUUAACGGUGAGGCUUAAUCUACAACAUUAUGUGUAGAUUAAUGGUCAGGCUAAAUUGCACUCCAUUUUCUGAGAAAUUUAAACUGGAUGCUGGUAUUUCUAUGGUCCAGUGAAUUAAUGCUUGACUGUAUCUCCAAUACACUCAACCAUUCUCUGUGAUUAUAGUUUCACCGUAUCUCAAACACAGGGACAAAUGUAUUACUCCAGUAUAAAUCUCCAAGGAUUGUGUGCAAGCAAUCUCUAGGAUCAAUAUUCAGUUUAGCAUAUUAGUUAAUACUAGGGCCAAUAUUCAGUUAACAGUGGGAUCAGUAUUCAGUUAAGGCAAGUAAUGUACAUGUGGUUAGCAUCAACGUGAUCGAUGGAGUGGACAAUGCCAACGAUCAGUUCGUUUUUGUGGAAUGUUAUCUCUGGACUGAACUCAAGCAGUAAGAAUAUAUUUGUAUCUUGAUUAUUAGCAGAACAAGUUGCAUGAUAAUUAUUUCGUUCUUAGGGAAAUAUUCAUUGCUGACUUGCUAUUGACUCUCAGAUUUGCAAGGUCGAUCGACAUAUGCGACAAAGAUCCUGUUGUGCACAAGCAUACUCCAUACAUUGUUAUCCUCGUGAGGCUUGCAGGAAAAAUGGGUCGAUGCACGUGAUGGUCAGUGACCUUCGGCCAGGCAAGAGAAAAGGGAAUUUAAGGUACAUGAUUUUUUGGGUUUGUUGGCCAAAUAACUAAACAAAUUUCUAGGAUAUUCUGAUUGUUGACAAAGCUACUGUUUUUGCCAGGACCUAAUUCGAGCCGUAUGCUUAAACCGCGAGUCAUCCAAGAAGUGGUCCAGUUUUACACAGUGCUCCUAAUAGUACAAUUAAGGAAAAACAGUUAACUCCCUCAAUGAUUUGGCCCUUGACUCCCUCUCAAUAUGGUUUCCCGAUGCAUAAUGGACUACCAAACAAUGUUAAGGAGCCAUAGAUAAGCAAGAAUUCACAAUUAACAGCCCUUGUAGCUGUGAUAAUAUGACAUCAUGAUAGUUUGGUAAGCAAGAAUUCACAAUUAACAGUCCUUGUGGCAUUUACAUACAUGUUGGGUUCAGAUAGACAUAUUAAAUACCUUGAUGCUGACCCUAACAAGCCCAACUAGACCAUAUGAACGUGCAGCAACCAAGACGGUAUUUGCACUUCUGCAGAUACUAUCUAAUUUCGAUACAGAACUCUCUGGAAGUUGCAGUGGUGAAAAUUUGGUGCAUACUUCAUAUAGAUGUUCUUCUAGAAUGUGCAUUUUAGGAUCAAGCAUUUUCUUGAUUUUCAUAUUGAAGAUCAAGCAUUUUCUUGAUUUUCUUAAUAUGGAGCUUUGACCAUCUCUUUGGUGACCAGUUUGGAUAAUUUUAGUUAUAGCACCCACGCAAAUUUUGUUUCUUUCUGUAUAUUAUCAGUCUUCUCAAAAAUUGAAGGAUUGGUAAGCCUUUUGGUAUUAUAUAUUUUUAGUCCAUGUUAGGAUAUCUGUCUAUUGUAGGUGAACUGGAGCUUCCACUUUUAUCAAUGUUGCUUGUGUAAAAUAUAGACAUAGCUUUUCAGGCAAUUCUGCUUUGUCAUGGAGAUGAAAAGUAAUUAUUUUGGUGUGGUGAAUCAAUUGUUUUGCUGGGUGAGAUAUAUCCCUCUCUUUGUUUUCUAUUUGUCAGGUUUCAUUUGAUUGAGGUUUAUAAGACAAGAUCGCAAGUUGUAGAAAGGAUGUACAUAUAUGUACUUUUCUGUAUAGAUCUUGCCCUGUGAAAUUAUGUAGUAGUGUUUGUACUUUUUUUUUCUUAUAUCAUGGUGUCGCCUGUGAGUGUUCCCAAUAGUGUGGACUAAGUAUGCAGCAAUAGUGUGAAUCAAUCUACACUUGCAGCAUGACUGUUUUUUCUCCCUGGGCCUUUUUAUUUAUGUGAUAGAACUUUCUUUAGCAAUACACCAAUUCAGAAUAUUCAUAUAUUCUUUUCUUAGUCAUUUUCAAUUUUUAUAUGUUGGCGAAGAACUUACUUUAGCAGCAUAGUGCUAACAAACUUACUUAGGCUAUCAAACAGUGUACAACUAAAGAGAAUUCAAUUAGCUGGCUUGUUUGUAAUCAGUGGUCUAGGUAGGUUGCAAGGAAGAGGGCUUUUGUAUCAUUCUUCUUUUGAUUUUUUGGAUCAAUGGUCUAGGUAGAUUCCAAAGACGGGAUUUUUGGUGUUGGCUUCUUUGGAAUUAGUGGUCUAGCUAGGUUCCAUGGAGGAGGGAUGUCCUCAUAACCUGUUAUUAUAAACCAUAUAUGAUUAGAAGACAAGAAAGAAUGGCAAAGAGGCACAAGAUUCUCAUGCCAAAGAGAUACUCCUCACUCAAAGGAUUUUGACUGACGAGUCCAGGUUUGGUACUAAUUAUGAUCACUUUCAGGUCCAUUUGCAGGUUUGGUUUGAUUUUCCUUUAUGAUGCAGCACCAUCAUUUGGACUUACAACUCUAAACCAGUAUAUAAAGAAAUUUAAAGUUCUGGAUAUAUAUUCCAAUGAUGUAGUGUAAGAUCCAUUCUCAACAAUCCUUUCUACUUUGGUUUUCGAUGUGAUGCCAUUGCUCGACUCCUCCCUUCUAUUGGAAAAUGGUGCUCUUCUAUAUCACUCUUCAUCUUCAAAAAAAAUAGUUAUUUUGUUUUUAUGUUCCUUUGGUUAUACCAUGCUUAGAUAUGUAAGCAUACCAAUAGCUUGGCAUUUACCUCCUGGUUAUGCCAAAAACUUUAUAAUAUUCGAUUUGAAUAAUUUUGUUGCAGUGUCAUGUAGUAUUAUUCUUGUGAGAAUUCAGUUGCCAGAACUCUCUGUUUCUGAUGGUUUUCAACCAUGUUCGACUACUUUGCAAAUUAUUUUGUUCCUGCUGCUACAACAUAAGAAGAGAUAAGUGGAACUGGCGCGGUGAGCUAAGCUGAUUUUGAGAUUUUCCAACAUUUAUACAUGUUCAUAUCUAAUAUUUUUGGACAUCCUUUUUGGUUUGAUCAAAUAGUGGUAUGAUAGUGUUACUAGUGCUAUUUGUUUCCAUUCUAGGUUCACUCAUCUCUUUAGAAUUCUAUCAACAGGUCUUUCGGACAACACCUCGACAAGCAAGAUCUUCAGACAGAGCUAUCCAAUACACUGCCCAUAUGACAGAAGAACAAUGUAUAUCUGUUCUCUUAGGCUACUGUUAGGACUUGCUUUUGGUAUAUCAUGUGACAUUUUGUAUGACAUCCUCAAAGUGAUGUAAUUAACCAAACCAUCACUGUUAUUAGGGCUUAGUCCUCCUAUAUCUUUCUUUGAGAAAUUCAAAUGAUGGAAUCAAUGGUCUAUAUUUCCUUCAGUAUGUGGAAUAUAUUCUGUAUAACCAGUAGUGGACUGGGUGGGUGCUGCCAUCGUGCUUUGCUAAUCAUGUAACAACCUGAAUCGAAUAUGAAUUGUGUUCUACCAAGUUGGAUAUAACUGUCACUGCAUUGUAAAUAAGUUAUUGUGUGAUGCCAUUCUUUUUUACUUUUGGUAUGAUGUUCUAAACGUGCGCACUUUUCCCUUCCAUCAUGUCAACCUAUCAAAGUUGAAACUGUCAAGUUGUGUAUGUGACCGCACCCGGCAGGGGUGCGGGGUGCGGCAAGCCGCACUUUUCAUCUAGUCUAACAUAUAAAAGCUGCUAGAGUACCCGCCAUCCCAGCGCCAUCUCCGUUUCGAAUGAUUCCUGUACGCUCGAUCUGCCUCGCUGGCUCGUUUUUACGGUGCUGUCAAAAAUCCAGCCACUCGUUCAUCUGCACAUUGUGCUUUCCUGCAUAAGUGAAUGACUGGUGGGCCUCCUUUUCUCACUGGCCCAGUUUUGCGGUGUGUCUCGCGUGUACGCUGCGUGUGAAAAGAGGGGAUCCGCAUAGAGAGUGGGGUUCGCACGGUAAAACCUAGCCACCAAUCCCCUCAAGCCCUGUGUCCUCUCCUCUCCCUCCCCUCCCCUUCUCUCGCCGCCAUCACCCGUCGCUGGAGCCCUGCUUCCCCUCCUCCCCUCCCCCCACUUCUCUCGUCGCCAUCGCUCGUUGCUUUCUUCGCCCGCAUUCGUUCCGACGGAGGCGGCGGCGGUAGCGACCUGCACGCCAAGGGCGAUGGCAGUGGCGUUCGAUCUGAUGCAGCGCCAUGGAGAGAGGAAAGGAAAGAGAGGAGGGUGAAAGAGAGAGGGAAAAGGAGAUGGAGGUGUGUUGGCUGACGUGAGAGGGUCAUCGGCCUGGAAGGACGCGGACGACAGCGGCUUGGACCAACGGUGUCCUGGCUUUGNNNNNNNNNNNNNNNNNNNNNNNNNNNNNNNNNNNNNNNNNNNNNNNNNNNNNNNNNNNNNNNNNNNNNNNNNNNNNNNNNNNNNNNNNNNNNNNNNNNNNNNNNNNNNNNNNNNNNNNNNNNNNNNNNNNNNNNNNNNNNNNNNNNNNNNNNNNNNNNNNNNNNNNNNNNNNNNNNNNNNNNNNNNNNNNNUUGUUGGUGAGGUGUUCCACGGUGAGGUAUGAAGAGACGAUGUACCAUCUUCUGCAUAAAAGUAGUUUUUCUUUCUUCAUGUGAUUAUUUUGGGAUCUAGCUCUAUGCAGCCACUUUUCUAGAUUAACUUUAGAAUAUGGUGGCAGUAAUUGGUUGAAUGGUUGAAGCAGUAGUCAAUUUGGUUCAUAUGCUUUGAAUAAAAUUGUGUUCAUAGAUCAUGUUAUGCACUUUGAAUGAAAUUGUGUUCAAUAUACCAAGGACAUUAAGAAUUCGAUUCAUAAAUGCAGCCAAGAUGCAGAGCGGUGGUGGACGGCGGCAGCCUGCUCCCAAGUUGCAGGUGAUGUUGCGAGAUAGCAGUAUACCAAGGGUUCUAAGAAUUUGAUUCAUAAAUGCAUCCAAGAUGCGUAGCGGUGGUCGACGGCGGCGGCCUGCAGCUCCCAAGUUGCAGGUGAGAAAAUAAUGUGGCGGUUGUUGGUUUGCAUAAAUACUGAUCGAGGCAUUGUGAGAAUAUUUUGUGAGGUAUCCUGGUUGGCAUAUCACAAGCUGCUAAUGUUGUUCAACCAGGUGUGUGUGUGGGCAUCUUCAUGAUCACUAAUUACAAAUGAACACACGUAUCUUCUCUCGAAGUUCUGAGUGUUGAGACUUGAGAGUAGUGGCUCAUUGUUUCUGUAUUCAAAUACUGAUGAAUCGACACUUCCAAAAGAUAUGUAAGUUCAGUCAUCAUCUCUGACUCUAUGCUGUAUAUCAUAAGGUGUUUUAUUUCUCAAGCCACUGUUUGGUCUGUGUACAAUAUGUGCUUCCUCUUUGUAGGUCAUUCAAAUUGAUAGGAUAAUGUAUGAUCAUGCUUUGUAUAGAGCUGACCUCACAUGGAACGUCCUAUCCAUCUUAAACUUCACCCAGGCUUGAUACAAUUGACCCUUUAAUUUCCUAGAAAUUCUCAUCUUUGCAUGUGCAAAUAUUAUUUUAUUUGUCAUACUCUUAUACAUUGAAGUUACAUUUUAUCCCACAGACUGAUGGCCAAAGAAGAUUUGGGAAGUUCCACUAUGUUCCUACAGACUGUUGGCCAAAAAAGAUUUGGGGGAAAAUAGCUCUAGAGAAGGAUUGAGAUGAAAAUGGUAGAAUCAUGGUAGAACUGUUUAUAUUGCUGAUUGAGACGGCGAUUGUGAUUUAUUGCUUUUUACUAAUUUUUUAUCUUUUCUACUUUGCUCAGAUCAUUUAUAUAGGUUGUUCUUUCUUUAGUACCAAUGAAUAACUUGGUUACACGAUAUACUUGAAGACUGUAGUAGGAAUAAAAUGCUUGGCAGACCAAACUAAUUAGGUAAGCUGAGAACUAAUUAAACCCUAGAAUAAUUGGUUGCCAGUGAUAGAAUCAUCUUGUACUAUUGUACAUAACUAAUUUUGAUUUCAACUUUGGUGUGGUCAUGUAGCUUUGAAGUUUCCUGGACACAGACUACUCUUGCAUCAUUAUGUGCAACCCACAGGGAUCUCGCUCGGUGAGACAUGCACACCUAUGCCACAUCUUUACAUGUAAGUUUGUUUUGCUUAGCCAUGGACAGUGAGGUCCCCCUUCUCUGAUUUCUUCAUUCCCAGUUCAUUUAUUUGUUUGAUAUAAAUAUCUUUACUAUAGGAUUUAUGUCCUUGCCAACUCUACAAUUGUUAAUUGCACACUCAGAGUAUGGAUAUUGAAUUAGCUACUUUUGCGAUCCCUGGACUACACGAGUCAAUAGAGCUGAUGUUAAUCAGUGUUUCUGGAUUGCCCAUCUUUCAGUUGAGUUAAGGCUUUUUCUAUUGUCCGCAAAUGAAAAUUAUUUGAUGUACCCCUGGUAUGAUAAAAGAAGAGAUUGCCCUUUUCCUUUGUAAAAUUUUCCACACACGAUGUCGUCGAGGAUGAUUUCAGAAUUUAUAUGCUCAUUGGUUCCAUUACUCCUUUCUCCAUUAACUCAUAUUAGACAGUGGUGUAUAAAGGUUGCACCUGACUCUGUUUUCCAAGGAAAUACAAAUGAAGUUAUAUUACUUGCAACCUGCGACCCCUCUUCGCUAAACAAGAAAAGUAAAAAUGAUAACCUAUCAGGCAGUAAAAUUACGUGGCUGAUCUCUGUUUUGUGCAUGUUCGGUUGGGAUUAUGAGUUGUUCUACUUUCCUUAAGAGAGCUUAUUUUCCUCUCAUGAGAUGCAUACUUAUAUUUCUGAAAUAAAUGAAUCUUUUGGGUUGUAACCUGUUCUUAGUAACGAUGCUUUACCAUCUGCCUUCAGCUCUCCUUUAUGUUGUUUUUUCUAAAUUAUUUCUAUGGACUACUACCAUAACUUGUUGGUUUAGUUUAGUUAGGUGUCUAGGAAGAAUUUCCAGUCUUGCAGAUGAAUCAUGAUAUCAGGUUUAGGCAUGCACAUGGCCACUAAUCACAAAAAAUGAUAUCUGAUAAAGCCAUCAUCAUGUCAUGUAAUUACUUGCAGAACAAUUAUAUUGUUUUUUGGGGCGGUAAAGCGGAAACGGUAGGACUCCGCAAGUCAUGUGAGUGUUGUUUGAUUAUUUACUUUCUCAAGUGUGUGGAUGUCGUUAGCAUGUUUAGUAUACGCACGGAGAUAUGCAAAGUGUAAAAAUAGUUUCCUGGGAACGUCAGAUUUUUUUUCUCCUUGGAACGAAUGAAAUGUUCGCCAGCGAGCGAUCACCCCACCGAACGUUUUUGGUCGAUCUGGGGGAGGAGCUGGACCGAACGAUUCGCCCCAGGCCCCCACGCGAACAGUUGCCCCUGCAGGCAAAAACAAAACUUUGACUAGGCCUUUACAGCCUCCAAUUAGGCUAAAAAAUGGCCCUGUUUUUUGUGACGCCUCAACACUUGGAUCAUCGCUCGAGGUUAUUGCUUUUGAGUUUCAGGUGAUAGGUUCUUUUUAUUGAUUUUUUGGAAAUCAUGAUGCUAAAUAUAUGGAUUGUGUCAGUUAGCUAAUCUAUUGGCUCUUUGAUGUGAAUGGUGACAUGAUGCCAAUGAAAAUACAUUUUGAACUGAUAGUAUUUGUAUAGUUUAAUUUUGACAGAGUAUAGGAGCAUACUCAAUGUCUUCCGCUUUUUGUAUGAGGUCGGCUUAUCUUGCUUAUAGUAAUUAGCUAAAUAAAUAUAUGGGCAUUUAAGAAUAUCUUUGCAAUUAGGCCAGGCGUGAGAAAAAUUUCAAAGACGAUGAUGUUCUCUUUUGGUGUAUUUCUAUUCUCCCUGUUCCAAAUUUUUUGUUUGGAUGCCACUGGCACACCACAUGCUGUUCUGAAGAUAUCAUGCUAUGGGACUUCUCAGCAGAACCUAAACAAAAGGAAGCUAUGGUUUUACUUGCAGCUCAGAUUUCACAUCCUUCCCAGGUUUCACAAAAAACAUAAACAUAUGCUUGGAUGGGUGUCCUUGCCUGCGACCUUGCUGUCUCCAACCCAUCCACAGGUAUUGCAACUCCUUCCCAUCCAACUUAUUCACUGUUCGUCCUCUCUGCUGUGAUUUGGCGGUUGAAAUCAAUUCGUCUGGAUAGGGAGGAGCAAUUGAGUAAUCAUUUACGCACCAUGUAUAGGCUGAAAGAUGAAAACUAAAGACCAUCGAAAAGAUAACACCAUCUUUUAUUGGAAAGAUAGAGAUGGAAAACUAAAAAAAACAUAGUAUUAGUUUUUUAUCCAAUGGAAAUUCAUACCGCGUGAGCCCUGAGGUUGAGAAUGGGAAAAUGACUGAACUUGUUCACAACACUAGCAGUAAUCUUGAUCUUUAUUUAACUGAUUUUGUAUUCUCGACCAGUUUGCAUACUUUUAUAGAUGAAUUAUUCCCGGUGUUACUGGUUCACUUGCUACAUGGCUCGAGCAUGCUACUCCUAACCUAAGUGGUUGUUGGUCUCACUUUAUUGAUGGAUGGGGGAGGUUGAGAAUUUUCUUAUGUUUGUUUGUAUUUUCUUUCGAGAUAAUCUGCAUGGUGCUACUUAAAAUUUAUGAAUGGUUUGUCGGCAUGUCACUGGGAUUUAGAGGCAGAAACGUCUUACUCCUGACUACAUGGAGUUCUCAAUAAAUUAUUCUUGUCAUUUUUUUCGAGGUGAUGUUCGCUCCGGUUCCUCCUUCUCUACCCAGCAGUAUGGGUAACUCAAAGCAUAGAUCUGAUUGUGCUUCUUGCAGUUUAUGCUUCCUAUCUCCGGGUCAUCUGCCUCCCAAAGACUACUCCGAGGUAUGAAAGUAAAGCCCCUUCCUCCGCCUUAAUGUUGAUCACGUUCAUACCUGUGUUAUAUUUUUUGUGUGCAACCACAAUAAUGGUUCUUUAUUUGUUUCAUUUUGACAUACAUGUUUCUGGAAUACUCUUAUCUGCCAUCAGACAUGCAGUCAAAGUUGAUUUUCUUAUAAGCUAGAACAUCGCAUAGCUAAUUGAUAGUUGCACCGCCUGAUUCUUUUUACCUAGAAGGUCCUGAUGCACAUUGUAUAUGUUGGGGAACGUAGCAGAAAGUCAAAAUUUUCUUACGUGUCACCAAGAUCUAUCUAUGGAGAGACCAGCAACGAGUAGAAAGAGAAUGCAUCUACAUACCCUUGUAGAUCGCUAAGCAGAAGCGUUCAAGUGAACGGGGUUGAUGGAGUCGUACUCGUCGUGAUUCAAAUCACCGAUGAUCCUAGUGCCGAACGGACGGCACCUCCGCGUUCAACACACGUACAGCCCAGUGACAUCUCCCACGCCUUGAUCCAGCAAGGAGAGAGGGAGAGGUUGAGGAAGACUCCAUCCAACAGCAGCACAACGGCGUGGUGGUGGUGGAGGAGCGUGGCAAUCCAGCAGGGCUUCGCCAAGCACCAUGGGAGAGGAGGAGUAGGGAGAGAGGUAGGGCUGUGCCAGAACUUCGUGUAUAGCUCCCAUGCGCCUCCCCACUAUAUAUAGGGGUGGAGGGGCUGGUUUCUUGCCCUCCGAGUCCAUUGGGGCAUUGGCCAAGGUGGGAGGAAAGAAAUCUCAUUAUUUCCUUCCCCACCGAUUGUUAUCCCCCCUUUUUAGGGAUCUUGAUCUUAUCCCUUCGGGAUAUGAUCUUAUUCCUUCUAAGGGGGGAUCUUGGUGCGCCUUGACCAGGGGUGUGGGGCCUUGACCCCACUACCCACGUCCAUGUGGGUCCCCCCAUGCAGGUGGGCCCCACUCCGGAACCUUCUAGAACCUUCCCGGUACAAUACCGAAAAAUCCCGAACAUUUUCCGGUGGCCAAAAUAGGACUUCCCAUAUAUAAAUCUUUACCUCCGGACCAUUCCGGAACUCCUCGUGACGUCCGGGAUCUUAUCCGGGACUCCGAACAACAUUCGGUAACCACAUACAAACUUCCUUUAUAACCCUAGCGUCAUCGAACCUUACGUGUGUAGACCCUACGGGUUCGGGAGACAUGUAGACAUGACCGAGACGUUCUCCGGUCAAUAACCAACAGCGGGAUCUGGAUACCCAUGAUGGCUCCCACAUGUUCCACGAUUAUCUCAUCGGAUGAACCACGAUGUCAAGGACUUAAUCAAUCCCGUAUUCAAUUCCCUUUGUCUAUCGGUAUGUUACUUGCCCGAGAUUCGAUCGUCGGUAUCCAAUACCUUGUUCAAUCUCGUUACCAGCAAGUCACUUUACUCGUUCCGUAACACAUCAUCCCGUGAUCAACUCCUUGGUCACAUUGCGCAUAUGAUGAUGUCCUACUGAGUGGGCCCAGAGAUACCUCUCCGUUUACACGGAGUGACAAAUCCCAGUCUCGAUCCGCAUAAAACAAUAGAUACUUUUGGAGAUACCUGUAGUGCACCUUUAUAGUCACCCAGUUACGUUGUGACGUUUGAUACACCCAAAGCACUCCUACGGUAUCCAGGAGUUACAUGCUCUCAUGGUCGAAGGAAGAGAUACUUGACAUUGGCAAAGCUCUAGCAAAUGAACUACACGAUCUUUUGUGCUAGUCUUAGGAUUGGGUCUUGUCCAUCACAUCAUUCUCCUAAUGAUGUGAUCCCGUUAUCAACGACAUCCAGUGUCCAUAGCCAGGAAACCAUGACUAUCUGUUGAUCACAACGAGCUAGUCAACUAGAGGCUCACUAGGGACAUAUUGUGGUCUAUGUAUUCACACAUGUAUUACGAUUUCCGGAUAAUACAGUUAUAGCAUGAAUAAAAGACAAUUAUCAUGAACAAGGAAAUAUAAUAAUAAUACUUUUAUUAUUGCCUCUAGGGCAUAUUUCCAACAGUCUCCCACUUGCACUAGAGUCAAUAAUCUAGUUCACAUCGCCAUGUGAUUAACACUCACAGGUCACAUCGCCAUGUGACUAAUACCCAAGAGUUUACUAGAGUUAGUAGUCUAGUUCACAUCACUAUGUGAUUAACACUCAAUGAGUUUUAUGUUUGAUCAUGUUGCUUGUGAGAGAGGUUUUAGUCAACGGGUCUGAACCUUUCAGAUCCGUGUGUGCUUUACAAAUCUCUAUGUCAUCUCCUAGAUGCAGCUACCACGCUCUAUUUGGAGCUAUUCCAAACAACUGUUCUACUUGGAGCUAUUCUAAAUUAUUGCUCCAUUAUAUGUAUCCGGUCUCUCUACUCAGAGCUAUCCGGAUAGGUGUCAAGCUUGCAUCGUCGUAACCUUUACGACGAACUCUUUUACCACCUCCAUAAUCGAGAAAAUUCCUUAGUCCACUAGUUACUAAGGAUAACUUUGACCGCUGUCCUGUGAGCCAUUCUUGGAUCACUCUUGUACCCCUUGACUGACUCAUGGCAAGGCACACUUCAGGUGCGGUACACAGCAUAGCAUACUGAAGAGCCUACGUCUUAAGCAUAGGGGACGACCUUCGUCCUUUCUCUCUAUUCUGCCGUGGUCGAGCUUUAAGUCUUAACUUCGUAGCUUACAACUCAGGCAAGAACUCCUUCUUUGACUGGUCCAUCUUGAACACCUUCAAGAUCAUGUCAAGGUAUGUUCUCAUUUGAAAUAUUAUUAAGCAUUUUGAUCUAUCCUUAUAGAUCUUGAUGCUCAAUGUUCAAGUAGCUUAAUCCAGGCUUUCCAUUGAAAAACACUUUCAAAAUAACCCUAUAUGCUUUCCAGAAAUUCUACGUCAUUUCUGAUCAACAAUAUGUCAACAACAUAUACUCAUCAGAAAUUCUAUAGUGCUCCCACUCACUUCUUUGGAAAUACAAGUUUCUCAUAAACUUUGUACAAACCCAAAAUUUUUGAUCAUCAUCAAAGCAUACAUUCCAACUCCGAGAUGCUCACUCCAGUCCUUAGAAGGAUUGCUGGAGCUUUGCAUACUUAUUAGCAUCUUUCGGGCUUGACAAAGCCUUCCGGUUGUAUCACAUACAACCUUUCCUCAUUAAAAUCGUCGAGGAAACAAUGUUUUGACAUCCUAUCUGCAAGAUUUCAUAAAUAAUGCAGUAAUCGCUAAUAUAAUUCCAACAGACUCUUAGCAUCGCUACGAGUGAGAAAAUCUCAUCGUAGUCAACUCCUUGAACUUGUCGGAAAACAUCUUAACGACAAGUCGAGCUUUCUUAAUGGUGACAUUUACCAUCAUUGUCUGUCUUCCUUUUGAAAUCCAUCUGUACUCAUUAGCCUUACGACCAUCGAGCCGUUCUGCCAAAGUCUACACUUUGUUUUCAUACAUGGAUCCUCUCUCGGAUUUUAUGGCCUCAAGCCAUUUAUCGGAAUCCGGGCCCACCAUCGCUUCUCCAUAGCUCGUAGGUUCAUUGUUGUCUAGCAACAUGACCUUCAAGACAGGAUUACGUACCACUCUGAAGUAGUACGCAUCCUUGUCAUCCUACGAGGUUUGGGAGUGACUUGAUCCGAAGUUUCAUGAUCAAUAUCAUAAGCUUCCACUUCAAUUGGUGUAGGUGCCACAGGAACAACUCCCUGUGCCCUGUCACACACUUGUUGAAGAGACGGUUCAAUAACCUCAUCAAGUCUCCACCAUCCUCCCACUCAAUUCUUUCGAGAGAAACUUUUCCUCGAGAAAGGACCCGAUUCUAGAAACAAUCCAUAUUGCUUUCGGAUCUGAAUUAGGAGGUAUACCCAACUGUUUUGGGUUUCCUAUGAAGAUGCAUUUUAUCCGCUUUGGGUUCGAGCUUAUCAACCUGAAACUUUUUCAUAUAAGCGUCGCAGCCCCAAACUUUUAAGAAACGACAACUUAGGUUUCUCUAAACCAUAAUUCAUAUGGUGUCAUCUCAUCGGAAUUACGUGGUGCCCUAUUUAAAGUGAAUGUGGUUGUCUCUAAUGCCUAACCCAUGAACGAUAGUGGUAAUUCGAUAAGAGACAUCAUGGUACGCACCAUAUCCAAUAGGGUGCAACUAUGAUGUUCGGACACACCAUCACAUUAUGGUGUUCCAGGCGGUAUUAAUUGCGAAACAAUUUCCACAAUGUCUUAAUUGUGUGCCAAAACUCGUAACUCAGAUAUUCAUCUCUAUGAUCAUAUCAUAGACAUUUUAUCCUCUUGUCACAAUGAUCUGCUACUUCACUCUGAAAUUACUUGAACCAUUCAAUAAUUCAGACUUGUGUUUCAUCAAGUAAAUAUACUCAACAUUUACUCGAAUCAUCUGUGAAGUAAGAACAUAAUGAUAUUCACUGCAUGCCUCAGCACUCAUUCGACUGCACACAUCAAAAUGUGUUACUUCCAACAAGUUGCCAUCUUGUUCCAUCUUACUAAAAAUGAGGCUUUUCAGUCAUCUUGCCCAUGUGGUAUGAUUUGCAUAUCUCAAGUGAUUCAAAAUCAAGUGAGUCCGAACGAUCCAUUUGCAUGGAGUUUCUUCAUGCAUAUACACCAAUAGACAUGGUUCGCAUGUCUCAAACUUUUCAAAAACGAGUGAGUCCAAAGAUCCAUCAACAUGGAGCUUCUUCAUGCGUUUUAUACCAUUAUGACUUACAUGGCAGUGCCACAAGUAAGUGGUACUAUCAUUACUAUCUUAUAUCUUUUGGAAUGAAAAUGUGUAUCACUACAAUCGAGAUUCAAUAAACCAUUCAGGUUCAAUACUAAUCUUGAUGGUAGAGGGAGUGUGCGAUGUUUGAUCACAUCAAACUUGGAAACACUUCCAACAUAUAUUGUCAGCUCACCUUUAGCUAGUCUCCGUUUAUUCCGUAGCCUUUUAUUUCAAGUUACUAACACUUAGCAACCGAACCGGUAUCUUAAUACCCUGGUGCUACUAGGAGUACUAGUAAAGUACACAUUAACAUAAUGUAUAUCCAAUAUACUUAUAUCGACUUUGCCAGCCUUCUCAUCUACCAAGUAUCUAGGGUAAUUCUGCUUCAGUGGUUGUUCCCCUUAUUACAGAAGCACUUAGUCUCGGGUUUGGGUUCAAUCUUGGGUUUCUUCACUAGAGCAGCAGCUGAAUUGCCGUUUCAUGAAGUAUUCCUUCUUGCCCUUGCCCUUCUUGAAACUAGUGGUUUCACCAACCAUCAACAAUUGAUGCUCCGUCUUGAUUUCUACUUUCGUGGCGUCAAACAUCGCGAAUAUCUCAAGGAUCAUCAUAUAUGUCCCUGAUAUAUCAUAGUUCAUCACGAAGCUCUAGCAGCUUGGUGGUAAUAACUUCGGAGAACCAUCACUAUUUCAUCUGGAAGAUCAACUCCCACUCGAUUCAAGCGAUUGUUGUACUCAGACAAUCUGAGCACAAGCACAACAAUCGAGCUUUUCUCCUUAGUCUGCAGGCUAAGAAAAUCGUCGGAGGUCUUAUACCUCUUGACGUGGGCACGAGCCUGAAAUCCCAAUUUCAGCCCUCGAAACAUCUCAUAUGUUCCGUGAUGUUUCGAAAACGUCUUUGGUGCCUCAACUCUAAACCGUUUAACUAAACUAUCACGUAGUUAUCAAAACGUGUAUGUCCGAUGUUCACAACAUCCACAGACGAGGUUUGGGGUUCAGCACACUGAGCGGUGCAUUAAGGACAUAAGCUUUCUACUGUCCGCAUAAUCACUACUGUCAACUUUCAACUAUAUUUUCUCUAGGAACAUAACUAAACAGUAGAACUAAAGCGCGAGCUACGACAUAAUUUGCAAAGAGUCUUUUGACUAUGUUCAAGAUAAUUAAGUUCAUCUUAUGAACUCCCACUUAGAUAGACAUCCCUCUGGUCAUCUAAGUGAUUACAUGAUCCGAGUCAAUUAGGCCGUGUCCGAUCAUCACGUGAGACGGACUAGUCAUCAUCGGUGAACAUCUUCAUGUUGAUUGUAUCUACUAUACGACUCAUGCUCGACCUUUCGGUCUCCGUGUUCCGAGGCCAUGUCUGUACAUGCCAGGCUCGUCAAGUUAACCCUAAGUGUUUUCGCUGUGUAAAACUGUCUUACACCCGUUGUAUGUGAACGUAAGAAUCCAUCACACCCGAUCAUCACGUGGUGCUUAGAAGCGACGAACUGUAGCAACGGUGCACAUUUAGGGGAGAACACUUCUUGAAAUUGUUGUAAGGGAUCAUCUUAUUUACUACCGUCGUUCUAAGCAAACAAGAUGCAUAAACAUGAUAAACAUCACAUGCAAUCAAAUAGUGUAGUGACAUGAUAUGGCCAAUAUCAUAUAGCUCCUUUGAUCUUCAUCUUCGGGGCUCCAUGAUCAUCUUGUCACCGGCAUGACACCAUGAUCUCCAUCAUCAUGAUCUCCAUCAUCGUGUCUUCAUGAAGUUGUCACGCCAACGACUACUUCUACUUCUAUGACUAACGCGUUUAGCAAUAAAGUAAAGUAGUUUACAUGGCGUUCUUCAAUGACACGCAGGUCAUACAAUAAAUAAAGACAACUCCUAUGGCUCCUGCCGGUUGUCAUACUCAUCGACAUGCAAGUCGUGAAUCCUAUUACAAGAACAUGAUCAAUCUCAUACAUCACAUAUAUCAUUCAUCACAUCCUUUUGGCCAUAUCACAUCACAUAGCAUACCCUGCAAAAACAAGUUAGACGUCCUCUAAUUGUUGUUUGCAUGUUUUACGUGGCUGCUAUGGGUUUCUAGCAAGAACGUUUCUUACCUAUGCAAAACCACAACGUGAUAUGCCAAUUGCUAUUUACCCUUCAUAAGGACCCUUUUCAUCGAAUCCGUUCCGACUAAAGUGGGAGAGACUGGCACCCGCUAGCCACCUUAUGCACCAAGUGCAUGUCAAUCGGUGGAACCUGUCUCACGUAAGAGUACGUGUAAGGUCGGUCCGGGCCGCUUCAUCCCACAAUACCGUCGAAACAAGAUUGGACUAGUAACGGUAAGCAUAUUGAACAACAUCAACGCCCACAACUACUUUGUGUUCUACUCGUGCAAAGAAUCUACGCAAUAGACCUAGCUCAUGAUGCCACUGUUGGGGAACGUAGCAGAAAUUCAAAAUUUUCUUACGUGUCACCAAGAUCUAUCUAUGGAGAGACCAGCAAUGAGUAGAAAGAGAAUGCAUCUACAUACCCUUGUAGAUCGCUAAGCGGAAGCGUUCAAGUGAACGGGGUUGAUGGAGUCGUACUCGUCGUGAUUCAAAUCACCGAUGAUCCUAGUGCCGAACAGACGGCACCUCCGCGUUCAACACACGUACAGCCCGGUGACGUCUCCCACGCCUUGAUCCAGCAAGGAGAGAGGGAGAGGUUGAUGAAGACUCCAUCCAACAAUAGCACAACGGCGUGGUGGUGGUGGAGCGUGGCAAUCCAGCAGGGCUUCGCCAAGCACCAUGGGAGAGGAGGAGUAGGGAGAGAGGUAGGGUUGUGCCAGAACUUCGUGUAUAGCUCCCAUGCGCCUCCCCACUAUAUAUAGGGGUGGAGGGGCUGGUUUCUUGCCCUCCAAGUCCAUUGGGGCGUUGGCCAAGGUGGGAGGAAAGAAAUCUCAUUAUUUCCUUCCCCACCGAUUGUUAUCCCCCCUUUUUAGGGAUCUUGAUCUUAUCCCUUCAGGAUAUGAUCUUAUUCCUUCUAAGGGGGGAUCUUGGUGCGCCUUGACCAGGGGUGUGGGGCCUUGCCCCCACUACCCACGUCCAUGUGGGUCCCCCCAUGCAGGUGGGCCCCACUCCGGAACCUUCUAGAACCUUCCCGGUACAAUACCGAAAAAUCCCGAACAUUUUCCGGUGGCCAAAAUAGGACUUCCCAUAUAUAAAUCUUUACCUCCGGACCAUUCCGGAACUCCUCGUGACGUCCGGGAUCUCAUCCGGGACUCCGAACAACAUCCGGUAACCACAUACAAACUUCCUUUAUAACCCUAGCGUCAUCGAACCUUAAGUGUGUAGACCCUACGGGUUCGGGAGACAUGUAGACAUGACCGAGACGUUCUCCGGUCAAUAACCAACAGCGGGAUCUGGAUACCCAUGAUGGCUCCCACAUGUUCCACGAUGAUCUCAUCGGAUGAACCACGAUGUCAAGGACUUAAUCAAUCCCGUAUUCAAUUCCCUUUGUCUAUCGGUAUGUUACUUGCCCGAGAUUCGAUCGUCGGUAUCCAAUACCUUGUUCAAUCUCGUUACCGGCAAGUCACUUUACUCGUUCCGUAACACAUCAUCCCGUGAUCAACUCCUUGGUCACAUUGCGCAUAUGAUGAUGUCCUACCGAGUGGGCCCAGAGAUACCUCUCCGUUUACACGUAGUGACAAAUCCCAGUCUCGAUCCGCAUAAAACAAUAUAUACUUUCGGAGAUACCUGUAGUGCACCUUUAUAGUCACCCAGUUACGUUGUGACGUUUGAUACACCCAAAGCACUCCUACGGUAUCCAGGAGUUACACGCUCUCAUGGUCGAAGGAAGAGAUACUUGACAUUGGCAAAGCUCUAGCAAAUGAACUACACGAUCUUUUGUGCUAGUCUUAGGAUUGGGUCUUGUCCAUCACAUCAUUCUCCUAAUGAUGUGAUCCCGUUAUCAACGACAUCCAAUGUCCAUAGCCAGGAAACCAUGACUAUCUGUUGAUCACAACGAGCUAGUCAACUAGAGGCUCACUAGGGACAUAUUGUGGUCUAUGUAUUCACACGUGUAUUACGAUUUCCGGAUAAUACAGUUAUAGCAUGAAUAAAAGACAAUUAUCAUGAACAAGGAAAUAUAAUAAUAAUACUUUUAUUAUUGCCUCUAAGGCAUAUUUCCAACAGUAUAGCAGACAUAAUAUGUAGUUGACGAGGAGGUUUUACAAUGAUAUAAAUAUAAAAUAAUUUGAAUCAUUGCAAUGCAUCAUUUUCUCUCAUUCAAUAUAAAUAUAAAAUGAUUUUGGCACGGCCAUCCUUUUUGGUAUAUAGUGUUUCCGAUGACAAACAUAGGGAUCUUUUGUACAGAUGCAAAUUUCCAUCUUCUUGUAUUAGACCUUGGAACUUUGCAGUUAUUGCAAGUUCUCUUACAUAUACUGUCUUCGGACUUUGUACUUCAAUUUUAAAUUUCAGAACUAGGAUAGUUAUAUACCUCCUUGGCAGUGGCGGAGCUAGCAUUUGACAGCAGGGUGGUCCGGCCCGAAAAAUUGAUAAGCAAAAUGACAUCUGAAUGUUCUAACAAACUAUCAAUAUCUUAUAGAAGGUCUUACAAACAACUAAAAUUCUCAAUUAAUCUCAGUUUUGUACAUGAUAUGUUAGCUUGCCUUUUGUAAGUAUUUUUCGAUCGAGUCGAAUUAGCUGCUGCUAUAUAUGGUGAUUUGCAUGAGCAUAAUACUGUUGUAGAAGACCAUGCUAAUCAAGCGAAUAUGCUUCUUUAGGAGAAUCGAAAUAACAGUCAGUCGUGGAUGGAUUAGAAUGGAAUAUUUAUUACCUUGGUGACAACGUCGGGCGGGCGUUGAAUCGUGGACAUGUCCCCCAUGGAUUUGGGCGGCUGGGCGAACAGAUGGACCGAGCUCCCUCCUCCGCCCAAGAAGCAACCGAGCUCCCUCCUCCGCCCAAGAAGCAGCCGGGGAAGCAGCACCGACGACCGGAACAACAUGGCGGAUCCAAAUCAUGAGUCUCCUUUGUCCAGAGCUGAACUGAGUGGCUGUCCCCAUGAGAGGACACGGGCACAACCAAACCCACACACACCAGACUACCGCUUGCUCCCGCGGAACCAUUGUGUCCCACAACGCUUGCACCUGUCCACCCGUGAACGUUGUGUCCCACUGCCGCUUGCACCUGCCCACCCGUGAACUGUCGGUUGCACCCGUGAAUGUUGUGGCCCACCCGGAAAAUGCAUAUCUGAGCGCUCGCAGGUGCCAGCCAUCUAUUCCAAGGGGAGAAAAAAACUUUACUUCCAAGGAGUUUUUCUUUUCUUUCUAAAGGGUCUAUUAUUCUCAGGUACUCUCUCCGUCCCAUAAUAUAAAAUACUUUUUGACACUACAUCAGUGUCAAAAAACGUCUUACAUUAUGAGACGGAGGGAAUAGGUUUUAUUCACAUAAACAAGUGUGACGACCGGUCAAAAUCUUACCACUCAAUUAUUAUUUUCAAAAAUGAUCCAUAUCUAUAUCAAUGUUCAUUGAAAAUACAAAGCAUAUCAAACAUAUAAAAAUUACAUUGAGAUUCCAAGACCAUCUCGCAUAGCCACUACUGUCGCGGACGCUAGCCAGGAAGUCUUCAUGCAUGCGCCCCUUGUUCAAUACAUGGAGCCGCAAUCGUCAUUGUUGAACCCUUGCCUAGAUCUGAAGCAUCUGACAUCAAAUCCCGUCACAUGACGAGAAACCCUAACCUCAUCACCCCAAGGAGACGACAGGAAUCUACGCUAGAGCUUCGUUGGCUAUGUUCAAAUGGACUGAAAGACAAACUCGAAGAAGUAGUGCCAUCAUCCACUCGAGUGUCGACCUGUGAGGACUAAAAAACCUGACCUAAACUACUAACCGAAUCGAAGGCAUCGAGAUUCCCAUCCCCAUCAUCGAUCGACGGAGCGGUAGAAAAGGGAAGGUGAAUCCACGGGCUCGCCGGUGAAGUUUCGAGGGGAGAGUUUGCCCUAGCCACCUAGAGUUUACUCUCCCCGAACAGCAAGCGACCGAACGAAUACACAUGUCCGAGCGCUCCCAACCAUCCAUUCCCAAGGAGUUUUUUUUUCCUUUUGAAGGUCUAUAUUCUCUAAGAGUUUUUAUUCACAUAAACAAGUGUGAUGUGAGAUAAUUAAAAAAG
This 37535-nucleotide long non-coding RNA is filed under the name Triticum aestivum (bread wheat). RNAcentral describes it as "long non-coding RNA (TAES_LNC011405)". Lineage: Eukaryota; Viridiplantae; Streptophyta; Magnoliopsida; Poales; Poaceae. The record is from RNAcentral.